Solea solea (common sole) is the source of this 2130-nucleotide long non-coding RNA. RefSeq lists it as uncharacterized. The record is from RefSeq and is a predicted model, not a curated record. NCBI's taxonomy places the organism in Eukaryota, Metazoa, Chordata, Actinopteri, Pleuronectiformes, Soleidae. The transcript is spliced from 3 exons.
ACCCACACUACCUUUGCGAUCGACUGGUAGAUCGCGAUCAACGUGCUGAUCAACGUUUCGAUCCACACUCCAUACCAGAUGGUGGCGGUAAUGCACCAAAUCGUUGUUUGCCAACCGCCAUAAAACCUCAGAAAAGAAGAAGACGAAGAAGCAUAAAAGGUGAUCCCACACACCUGCUCGUCUUCACGCAGGUGUUUUUCAAUCAGCUGAUGACCGCUGAUUGCUUCCUCCUCCUCUUCUUCUGUAAUCUUCCUCCAGCCAACACUGCCGUGAUAUCACUUUGAAGAGAAACUGCACGAGCCGUGGAACGAAAAAAAAAAGACGCGAAAAAAGUGUCGCUGCUUAACUACUGAAACUGUUCCGGGAAGAGGGAACUUGUGGCGAUAAAGCACCAACCGCCCUAAAACCUCAAAAAAGAACGAGGGAACUUUAAAAAAAGAAGAGCAAAUAAAAGAAAACUACCGCGGCGUGACGUCAGACGCCGAAAACGUGGUCGAGUGCAUCAACUUCUGUACAAAAACGCAGCAAGGCACUCCAGAAUGGCGUGUUCGACCUGGUCCAGAUUGAUGGCCCGUCCAGAAUGGAACAACCUGCUUCUUGCUCACAGAGACCUGGUCGGACCUGCCAUUUACAAAAGCCUGAGGCUGUCAAAAAAAGAUUGAUCUUCAUGAAGAUCGUCAAAUAGUAGGUGUCAUGAUUUAAUUCUGGGUGGCCGCUGUGUCCCCACUCUUUCUUGGCCGCCGUGCCUACAUCUCUCUGCAUUGUCCAACAUGGCCACGUUCUUUCUAUUCUCCUGCUUUCCAUCUGUCAAAUAGCUGAGGAUUGUACAUGGAGCAUUUGCCACAGGUUGGUUUUGUAUGUUCCUGUCCGCUUUAUUGGGUGGUCUGAAUUUGUAAGAUGUAAAUCUGGUCCUUGUUGGUUAUAUUUUUUGUGGAACUGCUGAGCGAGUGAUUUGAAAGAACGAGGUGACUGAUGGAGUGUUUGAAAUUCUCUCUCUGAAUGAAUGGGUUGUGUGUGUGUGACGGAGAUGCCUGGAUUGAAUAGUUAAGAUAGUCUGAGAAUAUGAUUAUGUUCACAUUAAAGUAGAUAUGGUAUCUUGAAGGGCUUAGAUGCUUGAUAAGUUAUAAUGCACUAACAUUUCAUUUUUAGGUCCGUCUACAAAGAUCACACUGAGAAUUUACAUGCAAAGAUAAGAACACACCUCUGUAUGAAGGCGUUUUCUUGCCUUGCCACUGUUUCUUUAGCACUAAAAUAUAGUGAUGUUGGAGGACCAGAUCUUAAAUGAGGUUUAAAUGGAUGUUGGUGUACAGUUAAAGCUAGAUGGUAGGAAUAAAAUUAAUGUUGUGCCUUUGUGCCUUGUACACUCUGUUUCAAGGCUUAGACUUCUCUUUUCCAUCGUGGCCAUUAAUCUACGGUUAGCCCUAGAACGUUAAAAUAGAUCCUGGUGAUCUACAGUACCUGGCUUUGGAUGGCAGCCCUGCCAUUGCCUUUGUAUGGCUAUACGUCCUUUAAUGCAAGUCGGCCAUGAUCGCUAACUGUGCCCGCGCCUUCGUGGCCUACUUGUGUUAUUAUACGUCUGGCCUUGCGCGUAUAGUAAUUUUACAUAGGCAAACAUGGGUGCCUUCCGCGUCCAUGCACAGUAAGUGAACUAACCUGUACUUUUCUUUUAGCAUCAGUCAAGAGGAGCACCGACAUCCCUGCAUGUCCAUCUUAAUUAGAUUGCGUUUUAGUUGCGGUAAAAUUUCAAAUGUUAAGUGCAGUUUUUCUUUCUUGCUUGGCCGCCGUGCCGUUACUAUACCUGCUCUGACCUGAAUCUUGAUUCUUCAUGGCCACUGAGUCAUGACUGUACUUGGUCUUGGUGUUCAUGCCAGUCUAUCAUUUCUGAUCUGUUUUUCCUACUAAAUUUUCCUGGUUGAGUGUGUGUGUGCGUGUGUGUGUGAUGACUGACUUGGACUGAUGUUAAUCUGACCUUUGUACCAAGACUAACACUCCAAUUGACUUUACUGCAAAAUGUAUGCUGCAAGAUGCACACCAAUUAGACAACAAGCAAAUUCAAAUUCUUUCAAAAACAGGUCAAAUGUUUACCUUUCAGGUAAGUAUUAAAGGCCUUUGCCACAUGAUCUUUGUGGG